UGGGGGUAAAAUGCAGACUGCAGACAACGGAUAAAAUGCAGACGGUUGACUUUUUAACUGAAUCGUGUUACCAUUUCUAUCAUUGAGGGCUAAUCAUAAGCAGGGUAACCGGAGCGUUAUUCUUUACGAUUAGCCUAAAUGACCCUGUUUAUGGUUAGUACUCGAGAAUGGAAAUAGCACAAUGUAUAAGCUUACUUAAAAAGUCUGUAGUCUGCAGUCUGCAUUUUACCCCUGGCCUGUAGUCUCCAUUUUAACCUCAGUCUGCAUUUUACCCAGUCUGCAGUCUGCAGUCUGUGUUUUACACUGACAGUGCAAAAUACUGGAGACUGUGAGAAGAAUAAAUAUCAAGACUAGGGAAUAACCAAUUUGUUUGAUUAGGAGUUACUGUUUUAUAAGCUUCUAUUAGCUGUUGUUUGCCAUGACUGGUGUUUUACUAGUACAUGAUAACAGAGUCAGAAUUAAUCUGAGGCAAAUUUUGUAGAUAUAUUACAGUAACAAUUGCUAUUUCUUAUAGAUUACAAUCAAAGGCCACACAAAGUAUGCUGGGAGGACAGGAAAGAUGCCGAAGGGGCCAAAAUCACUUUUACAGCUGUGCCAUUCAUAUAUUUGGGUUGUAAGUUGUAUGACUGCCAGCAUGGUGUAGAUAGGAAGGCAGCAUCAAAACAAAGAAUGAAAGACAAAACACAGGCGAGACUGGAGGCAUCAUGUCCAAGAAACAGUCCAGAGUUGUCCAAAACACAAAGAAACAAAAUUGCACAGCAUGAAUAAAGCUCAGAGAAAUUUUUAGUAUUUCCAGAAUUUAAGGUGAGAACCUAAUCAGAAAUGGAUUUGGGAAAAUCAAAUAUGGCACAACUUAUUUUCAAAAAUAAAUCAAUAGAAAUGUUAAUCGUAACUUAAUAUAAAAAAGUAAUGAAGUUACAAAAGUUAUGCAAACGCCAAGGUGCAGCUAUGCAACUACAAGACAUUUUAACCUACCCAUACACAGCAUUUGUAAAGUUAUUUAUGGAAACUUGCACCAAAAUAGUAAAUAAACAACAACAAGCUCUUCCACAGUAACCACCCCAAAUUAACAUCAGAUGGAAAAUGCUUCCAUUGGUGAGUUAUUUUUUAAAGAGAUGGUCUUUCCUACUGAACCAUGUAGUUUUUUGGUUACAUUUGGAUGCAAUGCCUCCUCCAAAUAUAAAACUAAACAGUUGUUAUGUUAUUGUGACAUAUAAGGGUUUCCCCCUUUCUUUUCACAGAGGUGUAGCUGACUGUAGAAUUUAUAACCAUUGCAGAAUGAAAUAAUAUGUAAAAUCAGAUUGUCCUUGUAACAGAUUGCCAAGGAUACCCCAAGGAGGACAGAUUUGUCAUCCAGAAAACUAAGAAUAGCACUACAAGCAGGGACUGCUAAUCCAGAAAGACGAAUAUACAUGGAAUACCCUUCUACUUCAGAUCACCAGAAUCACCCAGUGGGCGAGGCUGGAGGAAUGUGUCAAACUGUUGAUAAGCGUGUCAUCAACAGAAUUCAGGAGUUGGUAGCAGAAGGCUUGACCAA
Long non-coding RNA from Orbicella faveolata, 1537 nucleotides. The record is from RefSeq and is a predicted model, not a curated record. NCBI's taxonomy places the organism in Eukaryota, Metazoa, Cnidaria, Anthozoa, Scleractinia, Merulinidae.